RNAcentral lists this ribosomal RNA (326 nucleotides) under uncultured eukaryote. Its description in RNAcentral is "partial 18S ribosomal RNA". It matches the Rfam family "Eukaryotic small subunit ribosomal RNA", at positions 1470 to 1796 of the family's 1831-position model. The record is from RNAcentral.
CCCUUAGAUGUUCUGGGCCGCACGCGCGCUACACUGAAUGGAUCAACGUGUUUUCCCUUCCCGAGAGGGACGGGUAACCCGCUGAACCCCAUUCGUGGUAGGGAUCGGAGCUUGCAAUUGUUCUCCGUGAACCAGGAAUUCCCAGUAAGCGCAAGUCAUAAGCUUGCGUUGAUUACGUCCCUGCCCUUUGUACACACCGCCCGUCGCUACUACCGAUUGAAUGGUCCGGUGAAGCGUUCGGACCGUGGCCUUUGGACGGUUCGCCGUCUGUUGGCUGCGGGAAGUUCGUUAAACCUUAUCAUUUAGAGGAAGGAGAAGUCGUAACA